RNAcentral lists this signal recognition particle RNA (296 nucleotides) under Pochonia chlamydosporia 170. Its description in RNAcentral is "Fungal signal recognition particle RNA". It matches the Rfam family "Fungal signal recognition particle RNA". The record is from Rfam by way of RNAcentral. Lineage: Eukaryota; Fungi; Ascomycota; Sordariomycetes; Hypocreales; Clavicipitaceae.
GGCUGUAAUGGUCCAACGGCGAAGUCUCUCGAUUUAUCUUGCGCUAACCCUUAGCAUCUCAACCAUCCACCCAACCCCGUCAGAUCCCCCUCGCCUGGCGCCCAGCCCGAACGCUGCGGUGGCCGUCUUGCUCGCAUGGGUAACCUGCGAUUUGCCAAGCGGCCCUAAGCACUGGAGAUGACACUUGAGAGAGGAUUCACUCUGCAGAGAACUCUCCCCCGUCGCGUGGCGGGCUGGAUAACGACCGUGAGGGGCUUGGGUUGGUUGAGCGAGAUGGAGAUGCCAACGCCACUAUU